This 273-nucleotide ribosomal RNA is filed under the name uncultured Fluviicola sp. RNAcentral's name for it is "partial 16S ribosomal RNA". It matches the Rfam family "Bacterial small subunit ribosomal RNA", at positions 524 to 796 of the family's 1533-position model. Lineage: Bacteria; Pseudomonadati; Bacteroidota; Flavobacteriia; Flavobacteriales; Crocinitomicaceae. The record is from RNAcentral.
UACGGAGGGUGCAAGCGUUAUCCGGAAUCAUUGGGUUUAAAGGGUCCGCAGGCGGAUUUAUAAGUCAGUGGUGAAAGCCUACAGCUCAACUGUAGAACUGCCAUUGAUACUGUAAGUCUUGAAUUCGGUCGAAGUGGGCGGAAUAUGACAUGUAGCGGUGAAAUGCUUAGAUAUGUCAUAGAACACCGAUAGCGAAGGCAGCUCACUAGGCCUGGAUUGACGCUCAGGGACGAAAGCGUGGGGAGCAAACAGGAUUAGAAACCCGAGUAGUCC